RNAcentral lists this unclassified non-coding RNA (398 nucleotides) under Hevea brasiliensis (rubber tree). Lineage: Eukaryota; Viridiplantae; Streptophyta; Magnoliopsida; Malpighiales; Euphorbiaceae. The record is from RNAcentral.
CUUGAGCAAUCCUUUCUUCAAGAAUUAUUAUGCCACCUCUGGUCAGAGUACUGCUGGAGCUACUGCAAAGCCACAAUUACUUGGAGGAAUUCCUGUUACCACUCCACAAACAAUUCUUCCUACUUUUGGCUCUGUUACUGGGAUGAUGGAAUCAUGUGCGAAAACAUCUGGUUCUCCUGCUCAACUGACCAUCUUUUACGCUGGCACAGUGAAUGUGUAUAAUGAUAUAUCUCCUGAGAAGGCCCAGGCUAUCAUGUUCUUGGCUGGAAAGGAUUCUUCUAUCUCCUCUAACAUGACACAGCCAAACAUGACACAGCCAAACAAUCGCAUCCAGGAACCAAGCUCAAAGCCAAUAGCUACUGAUGUUAGUCCUGUGAACCACAAUGUAACUACACCAC